UUGCAGGUGUCAUUGCCAAGAUGUCACACAAGCCAAGACACAUCUCAUGAUGGGUAAAAGCAAAGAGCCGUCUAUAGACCUUUACAACCUAAUUGUUGCAAAACAUAGUGAUGGAGUUACAGGCGCAUUUCUGAAGUUCCAGUGAGCACUGUUGGGACCAUAAUACAAAAGUGGAAACACAGUCAUUUCAGCAUUACUUUGCCCAGACCAGUUGCUUCUUGUAAGAUUUUUACAGGAGGAGUAAAAAGAAUAAUCAGAACAGUCCAAGAGCCUAAGUCCACUUGUGGCGAGGUAAUAUAUAUAUUAGGAUUAUCUAUCAUAAAACAUUUCAUUUUGACUAUUGUUCAUAUCGGCCUGUUGUAACCUUAAGCUUAUAUAAUUUUUGACUCUUUCUUCAAAUACUGUAUUUGGUUUUACCAGGUGAAUCAUUGAAGGAUACUUUAGUCAGAUAGUAUGAGACCUUGUACCCCAUGUAACAGAACUGUAGCUCUUUGCAGAAUGAGAAGACACCAGAAAUGAAGUAUGUCAAAGUUCAGUGACACCACAAAGCAUACACUAGCUACAGAGAUUGGCUACUCAUUGCUGUCGCUCUGCUGAUGGGUCCUAACAUGCGCAGCACUUCUCUACCAAACCAAGCUCUGCCGCACCUAUAAAGAGACUCCUCGGUUUCUUUCGUUUUUUAAGCCUCCUUAGUAGUCUUUAAUAUUUCUGCUUCACUUUGUCCUUCACACAUCUAAAUAUAUAAUUUUAUAUGGAACUUCUUAUGCAUAAGCUCUUUGUUUAAGGUAAUUGCCAAGUAAUGUAUUUUUGUACCAGUCCAAUGUGUUCUUAUCAGUACUUAUUAAUAUCUUGGAGAAGUCCACCCUACUUCAAGUGGUUAAGGGUGAUGGACCAGGGUCGUCUUAGACUAAAUUACUACUUUUAGUUCUAUGGUUUACCUCAGCAGAACAGAGGAGCCACAGCAAAGUACAGGAAGGCCUGUUACAGGGUCAUUGUAAGAAAUAUGAAAUCUCUGCCAACCUGGAGAAAACUAGCAUAUUUUUCCCAAAAUCAAUGGCACUGCAAAGUUGCACAAGUGUAUAAUUUAUACAAAAUAAUAAUAAUAAAAAAAAAACACACCACACACAGCCAUGUUAGAGCAAAGAAAGUGCAUAUCCGUGUAUUUAUAUAACCCUGUAUACAUUUUCAGGGUGGGGAUACAGAGUUUUCAAGCUCUUUUUAACAAGAUAAUAAUUUAAAGUUGCAUUAUCACAGUAAAAAGUAUAUAUCACCAAUGUUCUGUGAAUCCCUGUGUACUAGUUAUGCUUUCAUUGUCAGAUAAUCUGCAUAUUGCUGCAUUUCAGAUUCCUGCCAGCACACAGAUAAAAACAUUGCUUAAAAAUAAUGUAUUUUAGGAUGAUGCCACCCAAGCCUACCUAUUGGUUACGCUUGUGACAUGGAUUUGGUGUUUAGCUCCAGCCUCGUAGGUGGCCCUUAUCUCCAUUAACUGAUGUAAACCUCAUGUCUGCUAUACAAGUCAGAAGUAUACUUACCAAGCUCACAAUUUAUUUUGUAGUACUGCAUCUUAUGAAAAUUAACAACAAUUAGAAUGGAAUUUACUAAGCCGCCAAGUUAACCGACUGACUCAAAUGGCAUCUGACAAAAUAUAUGACUAUGUCAUAUAGGGGUUAUAAGCUCAUAGAAGGUCUACAGAUGUAGUCAUCUUCCAUAGGAAAUGUCAAGCCUUAAGGUUAACUUAGGACUAACAAUCAAUCAAACUUCCUGUUUAGUGAUCACUUGAUUAUAAUUAACUUCAACACAUCUCCGGUAAGAUUCCAUACAGCAUUGCAUAUAUUGUUAGACAUAGUCUGAAAUAUAGAAGAAAGAAAAAAAUAAUGUCCCACUCCAAUAAAAAAACAAAAAAUAAAAU
This is a long non-coding RNA of Hyla sarda, 1909 nucleotides long. RefSeq lists it as uncharacterized. Lineage: Eukaryota; Metazoa; Chordata; Amphibia; Anura; Hylidae. The transcript has 2 exons. The record is from RefSeq and is a predicted model, not a curated record.